CACAAACUAAAUACAAAAACAAAAACAACCCAAUUAAUAAUUAAUUGAUAUCAAAAUUUUUUUUAAUUAUUCAAUUUGUUAAAAUUACUUUUUAAAUUACGCGGGUGGAAAAUUAGUGACGAUUCGGUUUAAAUUUGAAAAUUUGAAAAUAAAAAACUUGUGAAGUGAUUGAGUGUCAGACUCGUGCAGUGAAAAAAAAUAAUAAUAAUUAAUGACCUGAAAUUUAUUGGAAUUAUUUUGUUAUCAAACGAUUGACUGUUGUUAGUGACUUCAGUGUUUAGAUGCGAGUUACUUCUCUGCUAUGAAUUUUUAUCAAAGAAAAUGAGGAUUUUUUGUAAAUAAUGACAGAAGAAUAAAUUAAAAAUGAAUUAACUUUUCGCUUGAUGUUACACAACCAAGAUUAUAAACAAAGAUCAAAAACAAACAAACUGGUGAAAUCUCAAGUACAAUAAUAACAACAAAACUCUCAGAUGUUAAGCAAAAAGCAAGUAAGCGUGGCACGCAAAAGGUUGGAAAAUAAUUUCCUCCUUCUAGCUGGCGCCUGAUUUGUAUGAAUAUGGAGCAUGCAGAUAAUCGGCGAUUGCUGAUAAAUAGUUCCCGUAAAUUAUUAAUAUCGAGAGCUCGCGGUGGGAUAAUCAAUAGCAAGAGCAGUAUCAUCAGUAACAUUAGACUAAAAUCCCUCAC
Molecule: long non-coding RNA, 684 nt
Filed under: Cotesia glomerata
Lineage: Eukaryota; Metazoa; Arthropoda; Insecta; Hymenoptera; Braconidae
Description: uncharacterized LOC123261897, transcript variant X4
Source: RNAcentral